Molecule: ribosomal RNA, 917 nt
Filed under: uncultured bacterium
Lineage: Bacteria
Description: bacterial SSU rRNA
Rfam family: Bacterial small subunit ribosomal RNA
Source: RNAcentral
AGAGUUUGAUCCUGGCUCAGGAUGAACGCUAGCUACAGGCUUAACACAUGCAAGUCGAGGGGAAACGACAUCGAAAGCUUGCUUUUGAUGGGCGUCGACCGGCGCACGGGUGAGUAACGCGUAUCCAACCUGCCCACCACUUGGGGAUAACCUUGCGAAAGUAAGACUAAUACCCAAUGAUAUCUCUAGAAGACAUCUGAAAGAGAUUAAAGAUUUAUCGGUGAUGGAUGGGGAUGCGUCUGAUUAGCUUGUUGGCGGGGUAACGGCCCACCAAGGCGACGAUCAGUAGGGGUUCUGAGAGGAAGGUCCCCCACAUUGGAACUGAGACACGGUCCAAACUCCUACGGGAGGCAGCAGUGAGGAAUAUUGGUCAAUGGACGAGAGUCUGAACCAGCCAAGUAGCGUGCAGGAUGACGGCCCUAUGGGUUGUAAACUGCUUUUAUAAGGGAAUAAAGUGAGUCUCGUGAGACUUUUUGCAUGUACCUUAUGAAUAAGGACCGGCUAAUUCCGUGCCAGCAGCCGCGGUAAUACGGAAGGUCCGGGCGUUAUCCGGAUUUAUUGGGUUUAAAGGGAGCGUAGGCCGGAGAUUAAGCGUGUUGUGAAAUGUAGACGCUCAACGUCUGCACUGCAGCGCGAACUGGUUUCCUUGAGUACGCACAAAGUGGGCGGAAUUCGUGGUGUAGCGGUGAAAUGCUUAGAUAUCACGAAGAACUCCGAUUGCGAAGGCAGCUCACUGGAGCGCAACUGACGCUGAAGCUCGAAAGUGCGGGUAUCGAACAGGAUUAGAUACCCUGGUAGUCCGCACGGUAAACGAUGGAUGCCCGCUGUUGGUCUGAAUAGGUCAGCGGCCAAGCGAAAGCAUUAAGCAUCCCACCUGGGGAGUACGCCGGCAACGGUGAAACUCAAAGGAAUUGACG